UACGUAGGUGGCAAGCGUUAUCCGGAUUUACUGGGUGUAAAGGGCGUGUAGGCGGGGACGCAUGUCAGAUGUGAAAACCACGGGCUCAACCUGUGGCCUGCAUUUGAAACUGUGUUUCUUGAGUACUGGAGAGGCAGACGGAAUUCCUAGUGUAGCGGUGAAAUGCGUAGAUAUUAGGAGGAACACCAGUGGCGAAGGCGGUCUGCUGGACAGCAACUGACGCUGAGGCGCGAAAGCGUGGGGAGCAAACAGG
RNAcentral lists this ribosomal RNA (253 nucleotides) under uncultured bacterium. RNAcentral's name for it is "partial 16S ribosomal RNA". It matches the Rfam family "Bacterial small subunit ribosomal RNA", at positions 524 to 776 of the family's 1533-position model. The record is from RNAcentral.